GACGUGUUGGCCGUGUGGUUAAGGCGAUGGACUGCUAGUCCAUUGUGCACUGCACGAGUGGGUUUGAAUCCCAUACUUGUUG
Danio rerio (zebrafish) is the source of this 82-nucleotide non-coding RNA. The record is from Rfam. Lineage: Eukaryota; Metazoa; Chordata; Actinopteri; Cypriniformes; Danionidae.